Molecule: ribosomal RNA, 373 nt
Filed under: uncultured bacterium
Lineage: Bacteria
Description: bacterial SSU rRNA
Rfam family: Bacterial small subunit ribosomal RNA
Source: RNAcentral
ACGUAGGUGGCGAGCGUUGUCCGGAAUUACUGGGUGUAAAGGGCGCGUAGGCGGUUAUGUAAGUCAGGUGUGAAAGCCCGCAGCUCAACUGCGGAAUUGCAUCUGAAACUAUGUAUCUUGAGUGCCGGAGAGGAAAGCGGAAUUCCUAGUGUAGCGGUGAAAUGCGUAGAUAUUAGGAGGAACACCAGUGGCGAAGGCGGCUUUCUGGACGGUAACUGACGCUGAGGCGCGAAAGCGUGGGGAGCAAACAGGAUUAGAUACCCUGGUAGUCCACGCUGUAAACGAUGGAUACUAGGUGUAGGAGGUAUCGACCCCUUCUGUGCCGCAGUUAACACAAUAAGUAUCCCACCUGGGGAGUACGGCCGCAAGGUUG